AGGAAAUGUACAAUGAGAAACAAGUGGACAAGGAAUCGUGAAGCAUUUUCGCUCGUCCACAUUUUCUAGCUUCCCGCAGAAUGAAAAUGUGAGUGCUUAGAAGAGAGCGUUCUUUCCGGUAAGAAAAUGAAACAUGUUUACGUUGUAAGCGUGUUUCCACUAACUCUAAAUGCUGCAAUCUUAGAUGAUCUUCCACUUGAGCAAGUGGACAUGUGCGGAGUAUGUACUUCCUUCCCCGUUUUCGACCUGGACAGUAGAUCAAUCAAAGGCACAUGGACUGCAUGUGUAGUCGUGUAAGACAAUCAGACUAGGCAUUUAAGUUAGUAAUGAAGACUAAUAAAAAGAAUGGAGCACCUUACCUUUAAAAACUUCCAAGGGCGUGUGACAGUACUGCAAAAAUGGGACGAGUACAGAUUUUGCUAGUGGCAGCGGUGCUUUGUAUCGGAGCUUUGGCACAGGGAUCUCCGAUCCAAUGCAAUCCUGGAAGCAAAAGUUGCACAGUCAAUAACUAUCAGGGCAUAUGGACUGAUCGGGAACCUUGCGAGGUAGAGUCUGUAGCGUACCCAACGAACGAGAAGGAGCUUAUUGCCGCAGUCGCUGGCGCUGUGGAACGGGGGCAGAGCAUCAAAGUAG
RNAcentral lists this long non-coding RNA (633 nucleotides) under Selaginella moellendorffii. RNAcentral's name for it is "long non-coding RNA (SMOE_LNC002225)". Lineage: Eukaryota; Viridiplantae; Streptophyta; Lycopodiopsida; Selaginellales; Selaginellaceae. The record is from RNAcentral.